UUACUUACCAGGCACAGGAAAAAACACAAUCAAGAAGAUGGUUUCCCCAGGGUGAGGCCUUUCCAUUGCACUUCAGUUGGAUUGACACCUGUGAUUUCCCCAAAUGUGGGAAACUCAACUGUAUAAUUUAUGGUAAACCAGAUUAAUGCUGCUUUUACCUAAAUCUC
Molecule: small nuclear RNA, 167 nt
Organism: Protopterus annectens (West African lungfish)
Lineage: Eukaryota; Metazoa; Chordata; Ceratodontiformes; Protopteridae
Product: U1 spliceosomal RNA
Exons: 1
Source: RefSeq, a predicted model, not a curated record